CCGGAGAACUGAAACAUCUUAGUACCCGGAGGAAGAGAAAGAAAAUUCGAUUCCCUUAGUAGCGGCGAGCGAAACGGGAAGAGCCCAAACCAACAAGCUUGCUUGUUGGGGUUGUAGGACACUCUAUACGGAGUUACAAAGGACCACAUUAGACGAAUCAUCUGGAAAGAUGAAUCAAAGAAGGUAAUAAUCCUGUAGUCGAAAAUGUUGUCUCUCUUGAGUGGAUCCUGAGUACGACGGAACACGUGAAAUUCCGUCGGAAUCUGGGAGGACCAUCUCCUAAGGCUAAAUACUCUCUAGUGACCGAUAGUGAACCAGUACCGUGAGGGAAAGGUGAAAAGCACCCCGGAAGGGGAGUGAAAUAGAACCUGAAACCGUGUGCUUACAAGUAGUCAGAGCCCGUUAAUGGGUGAUGGCGUGCCUUUUGUAGAAUGAACCGGCGAGUUACGAUUUGAUGCAAGGUUAAGCAGUAAAUGUGGAGCCGUAGCGAAAGCGAGUCUGAAUAGGGCGUUUAGUAUUUGGUCGUAGACCCGAAACCAGGUGAUCUACCCUUGGUCAGGUUGAAGUUCAGGUAACACUGAAUGGAGGACCGAACCGACUUACGUUGAAAAGUGAGCGGAUGAACUGAGGGUAGCGGAGAAAUUCCAAUCGAACCUGGAGAUAGCUGGUUCUCUCCGAAAUAGCUUUAGGGCUAGCCUCAAGUGAUGAUUAUUGGAGGUAGAGCACUGUUUGGACGAGGGGCCCCUCUCGGGUUACCGAAUUCAGACAAACUCCGAAUGCCAAUUAAUUUAACUUGGGAGUCAGAACAUGGGUGAUAAGGUCCGUGUUCGAAAGGGAAACAG
Molecule: ribosomal RNA, 842 nt
Filed under: Staphylococcus aureus
Lineage: Bacteria; Bacillati; Bacillota; Bacilli; Caryophanales; Staphylococcaceae
Description: partial 23S ribosomal RNA
Rfam family: Bacterial large subunit ribosomal RNA
Source: RNAcentral